GGGUCAGUAGGUCGGUCGUGCCACCGGUACGUACUGGUCUCAAUGAUUCCUCCUUCCUGAAGAACCGUAAUGCCAUUAAUUUGGUGUUGCGGGGAAACAGGACUGUUACUUUGAAAAAAUUAGAGUGUUUAAAGCAAGCUAACGCUUGAAUACAUUAGCAUGGAAUAAUGAAAUAGGACGAUCGAUCCUAUUUUGUUGGUUUCUAGGAUUGACGUA
This 216-nucleotide ribosomal RNA is filed under the name Glomeromycotina sp. RNAcentral's name for it is "partial small subunit ribosomal RNA". The stretch from base 40 to 216 matches the Rfam family "Eukaryotic small subunit ribosomal RNA", at positions 686 to 864 of the family's 1831-position model. Lineage: Eukaryota; Fungi; Glomeromycota. The record is from RNAcentral.